ACGGGGUGCAGCAGGCGCGAAAACUGGCCAAUGCGCGAAAGCGUGAGCCGGCUAGUCCGAGUGAUAGCCCAUCGGCUAUCUUUUGUUAAGUGUACAAAGCUUGGCGAAUAAUGAGAGGGCAAGACUGGUGCCAGCCGCCGCGGUAAAACCAGCUCUUAGAGUGGUAGGCGUGUUUAUUUGGCUUAAAGUGUGCGUAGCCGGACAGAGUAUGUCCCUUGUGAAAUGCCAGGUCUUAAGCUUGGCGCGUGCGAGGGAAACUGCUCGUCUUGGGACCGGGAUAGGUACAAUGUACGCGUUGGGUAGGGGUGAAAUCCGAUAAUCCAACGCGGACAACCGGUGGCGAAGGCGUUGUACUGGAACGGGUCCGACGGUGAGGCACGAAAGCUAGGGUCGCGAGCCGGAUUAGAUACCCGGGUAGUCCUAUGCUGUAAACGAUGCUCACUAAGUGUUAGGCAAUGCAAGACGUUGUCUAGUGCCGAAGGGAAACCGUUAAGUGAGCCGCCUGGGAAGUACGUUCGCAAGAA
RNAcentral lists this ribosomal RNA (524 nucleotides) under uncultured archaeon. RNAcentral's name for it is "bacterial SSU rRNA". It matches the Rfam family "Archaeal small subunit ribosomal RNA", at positions 325 to 849 of the family's 1478-position model. The record is from RNAcentral.